This is a non-coding RNA of Chaetomium sp. MPI-SDFR-AT-0129, 114 nucleotides long. The record is from the annotation of a GenBank genome assembly. Lineage: Eukaryota; Fungi; Ascomycota; Sordariomycetes; Sordariales; Chaetomiaceae.
GGUUAUAUAGUAUAGUAGUAAUAUAUAUACAUUUUUAAAUAUACUUGCUACCCCCUCCUUAGGUAGCAAGUAUAGACUUAUAUAAGGUUAUAGGUUUAAUUCCUAUUAUAGUUA